AACCAGGCCCAGCUCCGAUGUCAAUUCGUACGUCUCCAUGAUGGUCAUAUUCACCGCUUCCUUCGUCCCCUUUCGCUUGUUUCUGUCAUUUCUCACCGCUGGUGGAAGGAAAAGGAGCAGGGACAAAAGAGAAAACCACGAACUUUAUUAAGCUUAGGGCGGAGAUGGACCACAUGAUCACUGGAGCAAAGUAUUCGGCCGCUAUGGCAUGGAGACUAUUCUGGAGAAAAUGGGCAUCCAGGAGAAGGUGACAGCGAUGACCAGCUUCUGGAGCUGAUCAGGGAGGACAUGAGGCUGCAGAGGGAGGCAGAGCAGCAGAGGGCACAGGAGAGAAGGGAGAAUUUUGACAGGCUUGCUAGAAAAAAUGGUUAAGAACGAUUAAACAUGUACAUAUAAAAGAAAUACCUAAAUAAAAUCAGUUCUGUAUUAAACUCUUGAAUUUAAUUUUUGUUUACAAAUGUGAAUUGUUUAAUAUUACAGGGUAUCCGCUGGGUCUUGAAAAGUCUUAAAAGGUGAAACAUCGGUUUUGGUCAAAUUAAGACCCUUAGAAAGUAUUAAAAACUAUUAUCACAUCUUUGCUCAGGCUCAGCUUGUCUAAAGUAUUUUGUCUGAAUUAGCUCUCCAACAGUCAAGGAAAUUAUUAAAAAGCUAAAUAAAACUUCGAGCUCCAUCGUUUAAAGUUCCUUCUCCCUUCUGCUCAGUGGUUCCACGGUUGCUAGGUGACGGAACGUUCGCCGAGGGAGUGGCAUGAAUUCAUGAAGGCUAGGCCUGUCCAAAUUCACAGCCAUUAACAUCCGGUCAACUCGGCCAACGGAGGACCCAGCCCAUGUCGGCCGAGUAGGCUGGGUCCUUCGAAGGAUGCAGACCCUGAAUUGAGACACCGCGUAAAUCUCAUCUCAGUAGCUGCAAAAGCAAAAUUGAUCAAAUUGUAGCCAUUUGAGUACUUGCUAAGGUCAGUUGAUGUAAAAAUGAAGUAAAAAUGACACCAUGUGGUCAAAUUUGGGUACUGCAGCCUAUUAAAAACACUGUUGCCAGCUGUGGCUCAGCGCCAGAAAACUCUAGAUGACAAGCAAACUUAUACACAGUAAAUUGAUGAGUAGAUAAAUACAGAUCAUAAACAAUAUUUUUGUCCCUUUUUGGCUUCCUUCCAACAUGAAUGAGACAUUAGAUUGUGAUUUUUUUCACUGUACAAUUCGUACAUAUUGUACCUUGAAAUCAGGAUCAUUUGAAUAAUUUAUUAAAAAUUUAUUGAAAUUCAUCAGGUGGUUCUUGAGUUGAUUUAAAGCAGAUAUGCCGUUUAUUUCCUCAGAGAGUACCAUCUAGAGGUGGAAAAAUGAACUGCAGCU
Long non-coding RNA from Nothobranchius furzeri (turquoise killifish), 1346 nucleotides. RefSeq lists it as uncharacterized. NCBI's taxonomy places the organism in Eukaryota, Metazoa, Chordata, Actinopteri, Cyprinodontiformes, Nothobranchiidae. The record is from RefSeq and is a predicted model, not a curated record.